UACGGAGGAUUCAAGCGUUAUCCGGAUUUACUGGGUGUAAAGGGAGCGUAGACGGCGCGGCAAGUCUGAAGUGAAAGGCAGGGGCUUAACCCCUGAACUGCUUUGGAAACUGCCAUGCUAGAGUGCUGGAGAGGUAAGUGGAAUUCCUAGUGUAGCGGUGAAAUGCAUAGAUAUCACGCAGAACUCCGAUUGCGAAGGCAGCAUACCGGCGCCCAACUGACGCUGAAGCACGAAAGCGUGGGUAUCGAACAGG
Molecule: ribosomal RNA, 253 nt
Filed under: uncultured bacterium
Lineage: Bacteria
Description: partial 16S ribosomal RNA
Rfam family: Bacterial small subunit ribosomal RNA
Source: RNAcentral